Molecule: ribosomal RNA, 378 nt
Filed under: uncultured eukaryote
Lineage: Eukaryota
Description: SSU rRNA
Rfam family: Eukaryotic small subunit ribosomal RNA
Source: RNAcentral
AGCUCCAAUAGCGUAUAUUAAAGUUGUUGCGGUUAAAAAGCUCGUAGUUGGAUUUCUGCUGAAGCAAACCGGUCCGCCCUCUGGGUGAGCAUCUGGCUUUAUUUUGGCAUAUGUUUGGACUUUGCAGCUGCACUUGACUGUGUGGUGUAAAGGCCAAGCCAUUUACUUUGAGGAAAUCAGAGUGUUUCAAGCAGGCAAUUGCCUUGAAUACAUUAGCAUGGAAUAAUAUGAUAUGACUGUGGUUUUAUUUUGUUGGCUUCUAGAAUUGGAGUAAUGAUUAAUAGGGAUAGUUGGGGGCAUUCAUAUUUAACUGUCAGAGGUGAAAUUCUUGGAUUUGUUAAGGAUGAACGACUGCGAAAGCAUUUGCCAAGGAUGCUU